AGAAGGGCAGCGAGGGGCCAGCGGAAAUCUAGCCCAGGAGAUGGAGGUGUGAAGACACAGAGUGAAUGAACCGCGAGCCGAGGCAGGGCCCCUUGUGAGGAGAACAAAGGACAGAGGGCGUGGUGCAGCAAGGCCUGGCAGAGAAGAGGACUAUCUUCCUUCCCAGCCAUUCACCAGAGAAACAUCAAAGCUAUCAUGAGGUAAACAGCUUCCUCUGCACAUGCUCCCAUCAUCAUGUGCUGCCUCACCACAGGCCCCAAAACAACAGGACCAACUGACCAUGGACUGAACCUCUGACACUGUGAGCCGAAUUAACCUCUUUAUAAAUUAUUUCAGGUAUUUUGUCACAGUGAUGGAAAGCUGAUUAACACAAAUUUGAAUUUGUGUAAGAAACCUAAUUACCAAAUAUUUAGUGACUUAAAAGACUGAAAACUUACUAUUUUAAGAUUUUGGUGGUCAGAAGUCUGACAUGUGUCUCACUGGACUAAAAUAAAGAUGUUGACAGGG
Molecule: long non-coding RNA, 507 nt
Filed under: Heterocephalus glaber (naked mole-rat)
Lineage: Eukaryota; Metazoa; Chordata; Mammalia; Rodentia; Bathyergidae
Description: lncRNA (ENSHGLG00000034246.1)
Source: RNAcentral